Long non-coding RNA from Homo sapiens (human), 1928 nucleotides. Ensembl annotates it as cytoplasmic endogenous regulator of oxidative phosphorylation 1. Its record names the gene CEROX1. The record is from Ensembl. Lineage: Eukaryota; Metazoa; Chordata; Mammalia; Primates; Hominidae.
GCCCCCCCACCCAUAAAGAAAGCUCCGCGGCUCUCGCCGCGCCCCCGCCUGCCCCGCCCGGCGCCGCACCACGUGGGCCAGGCGCCCCACGCCUGGAGCUCCCCUCUCUGGAGCCCCGGGAAAGGAAGCGGGGCAGGGAGGCCGGGUGGGAGCAGGGGGGUCUCCGGCGCUUCCUCUCCUCUGCGGGCGCCGCGCGGCUCCUGAGAGUCCGCCCCCCGUCCUGACGCUCAGCUAGGAAGCGGGUCCUCGGGCCCCUCCCCCGACACACACACACACACACACACACACACACACACACACACACACUCUCUCUCUCUCUCUCUCUCUCUCUCUCUCUCUCUCUCUCUCUCACACACACACACACACACACAGCCCGUCUCGCGCCUGAGGUCUCGCCCGCAGGCCGGUGGCGCGGGGUCAGCUGCUGCCUGCGGUCCAGGACAGGGUCGGUUCCGCCGCGCAGCGCCCAGGCCCAGCUCGUCCAGAGUCUGCGGACAGCGCACGUCCAGGCACUUUCCCACACAGGAUGGAGCCGGGCCACCCUCACAGCUCCUGCCCUGCAGACGCUGGCCUUGUGGAGGGAGGCAGGCAGCAGGAGCAGUGCUUUCUGGGCCUCUGUAGCCAGAGCUGGCCCUGCUGCAGCUUACGUCUGCCUGCAGCCCAGACGUCCUCCUGGUCCUCCUGAUGCCCCCGACCUCCACGGAGGACGAGCAUUUCCAGCCCAGCCCUCCCCAUCUUCACCUCGCACUCCCCUGACACACUGGGAGCCUCCUGAUCCGUGAACCCGCGCUGGCGGGAGUAGCUACUGACCGCUGGGGACCCCUGCCCAGGCUGUUCGCAUGUGGAAAGGAUUCAGGGAGCAGGCGAUGCCCAAAGCGUGGAGACCAGCACUGCUCUCUCCCCAGUGACAGGUGCACGCCCAGAUCACGGAUGUGUCGGGAACAGCUGUGCUCCUGCUGCUCAGCGUCCGUCACUCCAGGCUGGGAGCGGGUCCCCAAGCUUCUGGCUGGGCCUAUCCGUCUCCACUCUCAGUGUGGGGGUGGGGGGCGCCAACAGCACGCAUUUGCUCUCUGCACUUCUCGUCUGAUAAUGGGCAGAGGGUCCUUCUGCAGCCCCAAAACAUCCCUAGGCAGGAGCCCUGGGGCCCCAAGCAGCCAGGGAGGUGAGCACCAAGGACCUCCCAGAGAGCGUCACCUUCCGUCGAGGGAGGCCCAGCCUGGGGGCGGUGUCUGAGACUUGGAAUCAACGCUUCCGUUGGUGGCAGUAAAUCCUGUCCCUAACCCUGCAGUACAGCUGUGCCGUGUACAGGAGGGUGCUGUCUGACGCCAGACACCUGGACUACAGAUCGCAGCCUGAUUCCUGGUCAUUGCUCCACUGAACCCCAGACCCCAGCCUCGUUCUGGGCCCUCAUCCCCUAGAUCCAGGGACCCCAGCCCCAUUUCAGCCCUUGGGCCCUUGUAGGAUGCGAGGCCCUGGGCCCCAGCCCCCAGCCCAUCCGUGGCCCAGGCACUGGGGGGCUGAGGUCCUCUGAGAAGGGACACAGGGCCUGGGGGGCUCUCUCAGCCCAUCAGCAGGAGAGGACUGACUCCAGAAAAAUCAGCGUUUGUACCCACUCAGGCUGCCAAGACCUGUGUCCGUCCUUCCAAGCUCAACCUUCAGAGUUCAUGAGGCCCCUUGCCCAGAAUGUCCACAGAGUUCAUGAGGCCCCUUGCCCGGAAUGUCCACAUUUGAAACCUCCCAACACCGAGCCCCAUUUCAAGUAUAACCAGGAGGGAAAAUGGUGCUUGAAAUAAGCAUGCCACAAAGGAAAACCUGCUUUCUCGAAAUGGGCCCUGGCCGCCCAGGCCCUGACCUCCCCGGCCAGGAUGGAACGUUCCAGAGACCCAUUAGUGCCAAAGGCAAAUGAAAACACACCCUGUGAAAAUGUC